Molecule: long non-coding RNA, 418 nt
Filed under: Gossypium barbadense (sea-island cotton)
Lineage: Eukaryota; Viridiplantae; Streptophyta; Magnoliopsida; Malvales; Malvaceae
Description: long non-coding RNA (GBAR_LNC016884)
Source: RNAcentral
UGAUGGGCAGAUGGAACAAGUGGAGUAGGUGGCGCGGCGUCAGAAGUCAGCGGCGACAGAAGUCCAAAAGUCCGCAGAUGCGGCGCUAGAGUUUUAGACUUUCUGAAACCCUGGUUUGGCUAAUGGGUCAGAGGGUUUUGGGCCAAUUAGGUUAUUGGGCCUUUUGGUGCGAGCCAGGUUAUGUUUUCGGGUCUAAUUGGGUUAGAUUUAUUGGGCCGUGUGUUUUGGACUUAUGGACUGUUCUUCAUUAUUUGUUGGUACGGGCCCGGGUCAAAAUUGGGCUUGUAUAGCUGCCCCUCUUUGCUCAUUGUCAUGUAACGAGAAUAGAGCAAGGACUAAAUAAAAGCCAAUUUUGCCCGGUCUCGUCGAGUUUUGACUUCUCUGGUGCUUCUCUUCUUCUAGUAGCCUUAUUUCAGUC